RNAcentral lists this ribosomal RNA (497 nucleotides) under uncultured bacterium. Its description in RNAcentral is "partial 16S ribosomal RNA". It matches the Rfam family "Bacterial small subunit ribosomal RNA", at positions 28 to 507 of the family's 1533-position model. The record is from RNAcentral.
GAUGAACGCUGGCGGCGUGCCUAAUACAUGCAAGUCGAGCGAACAGACGAGGAGCUUGCUCCUCUGACGUUAGCGGCGGACGGGUGAGUAACACGUGGAUAACCUACCUAUAAGACUGGGAUAACUUCGGGAAACCGGAGCUAAUACCGGAUAAUAUAUUGAACCGCAUGGUUCAAUAGUGAAAGACGGUUUUGCUGUCACUUAUAGAUGGAUCCGCGCCGCAUUAGCUAGUUGGUAAGGUAACGGCUUACCAAGGCAACGAUGCGUAGCCGACCUGAGAGGGUGAUCGGCCACACUGGAACUGGGACACGGUCCAGACUCCUACGAGAGGCAGCAGUAGGGAAUCUUCCGCAAUGGGCGAAAGCUUGACGGAGCAACGCCGCGUGAGUGAUGAAGGUCUUCGGAUCGUAAAACUCUGUUAUUAGGGAAGAACAAAUGUGUAAGUAACUAUGCACGUCUUGACGGUACCUAAUCAGAAAGCCACGGCUAACUACGUG